RNAcentral lists this transfer RNA (77 nucleotides) under Bacillota bacterium. Its description in RNAcentral is "tRNA-Val". It matches the Rfam family "tRNA". Rfam says of the family: Transfer RNA (tRNA) molecules are approximately 80 nucleotides in length. Their secondary structure includes four short double-helical elements and three loops (D, anti-codon, and T loops). Further hydrogen bonds mediate the characteristic L-shaped molecular structure. tRNAs have two regions of fundamental functional importance: the anti-codon, which is responsible for specific mRNA codon recognition, and the 3' end, to which the tRNAs corresponding amino acid is attached (by aminoacyl-tRNA synthetases). tRNAs cope with the degeneracy of the genetic code in two manners: having more than one tRNA (with a specific anti-codon) for a particular amino acid; and 'wobble' base-pairing, i.e. permitting non-standard base-pairing at the 3rd anti-codon position. Lineage: Bacteria; Bacillati; Bacillota. The record is from RNAcentral.
GGAAGUUUAGCUCAGCUGGUUAGAGCAUCUCCUUUACACGGAGAGGGCCAGGGGUUCGAGUCCCUUAACUUCCACCA